Long non-coding RNA from Dicentrarchus labrax (European seabass), 887 nucleotides. RefSeq lists it as uncharacterized. Lineage: Eukaryota; Metazoa; Chordata; Actinopteri; Moronidae. The record is from RefSeq and is a predicted model, not a curated record. The transcript has 7 exons.
UACUGACCUGGGCGUGUACUCCAGGUGAGAGUGGAUCUGGACCUAUAUGAACCUUGUUCUGGUCCGGUACUGACCUGGGCGUAUACUCCAGGUGAGAGUGGAUCUGAACCUAUCUGAACCUGAUUCUGGUCCUGUACUGACCUGGGCGUGUACUCCAGGUGAGAGUGGAUCUGGACCUGGUUCUUGUUCUGUACUGACCUGGGUGUGUACUCCAGGUUUGAGUGGACCUGGUUCUGGUUCUGUACUGACCUGGGUGUGUACUCUAGGUGAGAGUGGAUCUGGACCUAUCUGAACCUGGUUCUGGUCCUGUACUGACCUGGGUGUGUACUCUAGGUGAGAGUGGACCUGGACCUGGUUCUGGUCCUGUACUGACCUGGGUGUGUACUCCAGGUUUGAGUGGACCUGGUUCUGGUUCUGGUUCUGUACUGACCUGGGCGUGUACUCCAGGUGAGAGUGGAUCUGGACCUAUAUAAACCUGGUUCUGGUUCUGUACUGACCUGGGCGUGUACUCCAGUUGAGAGUGGACCUGUACCUGGUUCUGGUUCUGUACUGACCUGGGCGUGUACUCCAGGUGAGAGUGGAUCUGGACCUAUCUGAACCUGGUUCUGAACCUGGUUCUGAACCUGGUUCUGAACCUGGUUCUGGUUCUGUACUGACCUGGGUGUGUACUCCAGGUUUGAGUGGAUCUGGACCUGGUUCUGGUUCUGUAUUGACCUGGGUGUGUACUCCAGGUGAGAGUGGAUCUGGACCUAUCUGAACCUGGUUCUGUACUGACCUGGCGUGUACUCCAGGUUUGAGUGGACCUGGACCUAACUGGACCUGGUUCUGGUUCUGUACUGACCUGGGCGUGUACUCCAGGUGAGAGUGGAUCUGGUUCUGGUUCUGUA